GCUGGGUGUGGUGGCUCACGCCUGUAAUCCCAGCACUUUGGGAGGCCGAGGUGGGUGGAUCACCUGAGGUCAGGAGUUUGAGACCAGCCUGGCCAACAUGGUGAAACCCCGUCUCUA
RNAcentral lists this non-coding RNA (117 nucleotides) under Pan paniscus (pygmy chimpanzee). The record is from Rfam by way of RNAcentral. RNAcentral also lists the same sequence under 1 other name. Lineage: Eukaryota; Metazoa; Chordata; Mammalia; Primates; Hominidae.